UCGUAAUACGAAUCGGUGCAAAAGGGUCCUGCCCAACGACUACUGACACGUGCUGUCGGGGCACGAACCCUUUAGCACCGGUUCAUGUUACAAA
This 94-nucleotide microRNA precursor is filed under the name Sorghum bicolor (sorghum). RNAcentral describes it as "MIR5387 microRNA precursor family". It matches the Rfam family "MIR5387 microRNA precursor family". Lineage: Eukaryota; Viridiplantae; Streptophyta; Magnoliopsida; Poales; Poaceae. The record is from Rfam by way of RNAcentral.